Lepisosteus oculatus (spotted gar) is the source of this 215-nucleotide small nucleolar RNA. NCBI's taxonomy places the organism in Eukaryota, Metazoa, Chordata, Actinopteri, Semionotiformes, Lepisosteidae. The record is from Ensembl.
AAGACUAUACUUUCAGGGAUCAUUUCUAUAGUUUGUGACUUGAGAAAUGCGUUUCUAAAGUGUUUGGUCUCGCCAACCACGAGGAGGAUAUAUAGUGUCUCCUUCUGAGCGCGAAGCGGGUCCGGAGUGUUGCUUCAGGGCAGCUGUUCCCGACCAUUGAUGACCGUUCCUCUCUCUCACGGGCUGAGGAGGAAGGAGACACUUUCUGAGUGGGC